GAAGUGAAAGAAAAAGAGGCGUUAUUGUUUUUUACUUUAUUCAGUAUAAAGUGCGUUUUACUCUUCUAUAUCUUGUAGCUCACAAAUCGUCUUUACUAACCCUACAAAUUCUCUUCCGGCAAGUUUUCAGGUUCCUCCGAAUCGCUCCGACGCCUUUGAUGUUCACAUCUUCCGGACGAGAGUCAUCUGUGACAGGAUAAUGGAAGAUCGAGUUAUCAAAGGCUUAUUGGGCGUUUCCUUGAGUUCGUAUCAUAUUCUACAAGAUUAAUGCAAAACCGAAGAAGUAGAGCAGGUAGACAUUUCAUUACCAUUAUUCUGCUACAUAUUGGAUUGAGAAUUAUUUGCUUCCGCUUUUGAGCCUAUGCUAUUGAAUUUGAUAUUAUGCUAAACACAUUGUGGGUGAGUGCUGUUGGUAAAAAUGUAUGUGGCAGAUGUGCUGGAUUCCAAUUUAUGGGAGAAAAUGCAAAUAUAUAGCAGUGGUCAACUAUGUGUUGGAGUUGAAGCAGUUAUGUGGUUUGUCAAUGCCGAUGACGAGAGUCAUCUGUGACAGGAUAGUGGAAGAUCUAGUUAUCAAAGGCUUAUUCGGGCGUUUUUUCUCAUGUUCAGUUCGUAGCAAAAUCUCCAACUUUUGCAGAGUAGCACAGGUAGACAUUUCAUCACCAUUACUCUAUUAGAUAUUGAAUUGAGUAUUAUUUGCUUCCUCUUUUGAGCGUAUGCUAUAGAAUUUGAUUUUAUGUUAACACAAGUUACUAUUUCUGUGUGUGUGGUGUUGAAAUUUGUCUGUAAAACUAGGCUUUUUAUUUAAUCAAUAUUAAGAAGAUGUGGUAUGUGGAGAUGUGUAGGACGAGAAAAUGGAAACAUAUAGCAGUGUUCAACUUUUUGCAGGCCUAGAUGUGUUGAAGUUUCAGCAGUUUUGUGGUUUGUCAAUAGUCUUUGUUUUAUUAAAGAUGUACUAUUCUUUGCAUUUGAGGUAUGUUCUAACAAUUUUGGGCCUUGUCAUGUAUGUUUGAAUCCCUGAGUGUGUGCGUGUUUGUGUAUAUAUACCUACACAUAUACAUACACAGAAAAAUUUGACUACAGUUGUAGGUGGGUGGAUUUAAGAUAGUAAUAUACGUUGACGAAUUGGUGUUAUAAUUGCCUCAUAUUUCCAUAAUAGAAUUUGUUAUAAGAAUAUUAUGGUAUCCUGACAGUCGUCUUGUAAGUUAAUUUUUUUUAUAUAGGUUUUGUUAGGACAAUUGCACAAAGUUAUUAGGCAUCUCCUAAAAAAAACUUGUUAUGAUUCCUACUGGGUCAAUUGAUGAUUAGCAUAGAUCUUUGAUAUUUGUCAUUAACCUUUGGUACUCUUGUAGGAUGCCAGAUUCACUAACUGCUUCACUGUGAUCUAUGUUUACCAUGGAUAACGUAAUUAUCAGAUGUAUUAGAAUCUUUAUCUCCAAAAAGAAGAGGAAGUUAUAAAAUCAAAAUAUCUUGCCUUCCAUCCGGAUCCAGCUUGCGCUCCUCACGGGUAACUCUAUCCACUAAUCUUAUAGCUCAUGGUCUCAACCUACUUCAAUCCUUAAGCCAUACCCUUGGGUACCCUUCCAUACCCUUUUUCACGAGCCAAUGCAUCCUAUCCAGCUGCUGCUAGCAACGCAUGUCAUUUUGGCCGAAUGUGAAGUUAAUUAUCCAUCAUUUGGUAUUCUAAAUUUAGGGAGAGCUUGACAGUUCUCUUCUGUAUUAUUUUCAUUGCACCAAGGGUACGCUAGCUUCUCUCUUUAAGUCCAGGUUUUUCUAACUUUGUGGUGUGAUUUAUCAUAUUCUACUUGUUUUUGAUGGCCAGUAAA
Molecule: long non-coding RNA, 1823 nt
Organism: Solanum pennellii
Lineage: Eukaryota; Viridiplantae; Streptophyta; Magnoliopsida; Solanales; Solanaceae
Exons: 3
Source: RefSeq, a predicted model, not a curated record